RNAcentral lists this ribosomal RNA (292 nucleotides) under Plagiodontes daedaleus. Its description in RNAcentral is "partial 16S ribosomal RNA". The record is from RNAcentral. Lineage: Eukaryota; Metazoa; Mollusca; Gastropoda; Stylommatophora; Odontostomidae.
CAAUUGGCCCUUAAUUGGGGUCGGGUAUCAACGGAACUACUUAGUUGUGACUGUCUUUAUCUAUUCAAUUUUAACUUACUGACAAAGUGAAAAUUCUUUGGAGAAUAAGUAAGACGAGAAGACCCUUAGAUUUUUAUCCAAGCUAGAUCUAAUAAUUAUCUAUUACCAUUUUGUUGGGGCGACAGAGUAUCAAUAAGGAUCAUACUUAUUCACUAACUCCAUAUAUUCAACUAUUUUUUUACUAAUAAUUAAAAUACCUAAGGGAUAACAGCAUUAUUAAAUUAUUACAUUG